CCUACGGGAGGCUGCAGUGGGGAAUUUUGGACAAUGGGGGCAACCCUGAUCCAGCAACGCCGCGUGAAUGAAGAAGGCCUUCGGGUUGUAAAGUUCUUUUAUUGAGUCAUGAGUAUAGGAAGAAUAAGCACCGGCUAACUACGUGCCAGCAGCCGCGGUAAUACGUAGGGUGCGAGCGUUAAUCGGAAUUACUGGGCGUAAAGGGUGCGCAGGCGGAUAUGUAAGUUAGAUGUGAAAUCCCAGAGCUUAACUUUGGAAUAGCAUUUAAGACUGCAUGUCUAGAGUUUGUGAGAGGGGGGUAGAAUUCCAAGUGUAGCAGUGAAAUGCGUAGAGAUUUGGAGGAAUACCGAUGGCGAAGGCAGCCCCCUGCUAAAACUGACGCUCAGGCACGAAAGCGUGGGUAGCAAACAGGAUUAGAUACCCUGGUAGUC
Molecule: ribosomal RNA, 431 nt
Filed under: uncultured bacterium
Lineage: Bacteria
Description: partial 16S ribosomal RNA
Rfam family: Bacterial small subunit ribosomal RNA
Source: RNAcentral